Molecule: ribosomal RNA, 288 nt
Filed under: uncultured bacterium
Lineage: Bacteria
Description: partial 16S ribosomal RNA
Rfam family: Bacterial small subunit ribosomal RNA
Source: RNAcentral
CACGCCGUAACGAUGGGUACUAGGCGUCGGGGGGAGCGACCCUCCCGGUGCCGUCGCUAACGCAGUAAGUACCCCGCCUGGGGAGUACGGCCGCAAGGCUGAAACUCAAAGGAAUUGACGGGGGCCCGCACAAGCGGUGGAGCAUGUGGUUCAAUUCGAUGCAACGCGAAGAACCUUACCUGGGCUUGACAUGCUGGUGAAAGCCGGUGGAAACAUCGGCCCCUCUUCGGAGCGCCAGCACAGGUGCUGCAUGGCUGUCGUCAGCUCGUGUCGUGAGAUGUUGGGUUA